CAGUCGCCGCGGUAAAACGAAGGGGGCUAGCGUUGCUCGGAAUUACUGGGCGUAAAGGGCGCGUAGGCGGACAGUUUAGUCGGGGGUGAAAGCCCGGGGCUCAACCUCGGAAUUGCCUUCGAUACUGGCUGUCUUGAGUGUGAGAGAGGUGUGUGGAACUCCGAGUGUAGAGGUGAAAUUCGUAGAUAUUCGGAAGAACACCAGUGGCGAAGGCGACACACUGGCUCACUACUGACGCUGAGGCGCGAAAGCGUGGGGAGCAAACAGGAUUAGAUACCCCAGUAGUCCCUGUCUCUUAUAC
RNAcentral lists this ribosomal RNA (301 nucleotides) under uncultured bacterium. Its description in RNAcentral is "partial 16S ribosomal RNA". It matches the Rfam family "Bacterial small subunit ribosomal RNA", at positions 509 to 807 of the family's 1533-position model. The record is from RNAcentral.